This is a long non-coding RNA of Lactuca sativa (garden lettuce), 1253 nucleotides long. RefSeq lists it as uncharacterized. The record is from RefSeq and is a predicted model, not a curated record. NCBI's taxonomy places the organism in Eukaryota, Viridiplantae, Streptophyta, Magnoliopsida, Asterales, Asteraceae.
UAAGGGUUUAAUUUUAUUAUUUUGAAUCAAAGUUUGAAUAAAUUUGACCUCUUUCCCUACUAACAUGAUUUGCAGAUCGGGAAACGGAAGGAAAUACGAACGAAAGCAGGUAAAGAAACGAAGUUGGUCCGGUGAUUGGCAAAUCUGUCGUCAGGAGGGAGGAGCAUCUCCGGUGCUUGACUGAAUCGACGAUGGUGAACGGAAGCAGCGGUGUUGCCGUUAGUGUCAGUGGUGGCUGAUUCACCGUGAAACGGAAGGAGGAAGGGGGAACCGAACUUCGGCGACCCUUGUGGUUUAAUCUUCAUGUGGUCAGAAGGAGAGGCAUGGACGAAAGCAGUAGCAGUCGCCGAUCCCUUGGAGUGCACCACCUGAUUGUCUUGUUCGGACAAAGAAGAAGGAAAAACGAAAGCAGGUGGGUGGCUCGGUGGUGGUUGUGGGAUCGUGAGGAGGGGAGAGGGGAGAGGGGCAGCCGAAUUCCGGCGAGCUCCUCUUGGAUUCAUCUAUUGUCUUCAGCAGUGGAACACGAAGAAGGGAGCAGGGGAUAGACGAAGGUGGUGACAAGGGGCUCCGGUGGUUUUGCUCGAUAAUCACAGAAGAAGAAUUCGGUGGGUGCUUGGGUUUGAUUGUUGACAGAGAAUGGAAGCAAUGAGAAACAGGUGAAGUAGAAGAGGCAGUUGCCUCUUGUUCACUCACUCGAAAACAACCUCUCCUUGGGGUUGUUCUUCUUCUUGAUGGCGACAACAAAAUUGAAUGAAAAGAAGGGCGUUUGGGUUUGAGUUUUUUUGACUGGAGGAGGGGCUGCUGCUCCAUAGCUCACCGGGAAACCACAAGAAAACCACCUCCAAUGGAGGUGUUCUUGGCUGUGCAUCGAAACAGAAAGAAGGGAGAGGAGUGAGUUUGUGAAUGAUUGUGUGACUUUCCCAUGUGAUCAAAAGCAGAUAUUUAGAAGUUCUUGAGACAUUGGAAGUACUUGGAAAUCUCUAAAGGAUUGUGGAGGUACAACACUAAAUUGCCCAUGUGUGAGAGGGUGUGUGUUUAUUGUCAUUGAUAUAGUCACGUGUAAUGAUCUAGUUCAGAUUUCCAGUUGAUUUUGAUGAUAAAUUUGUGUACAACAAGUUUUGGGAAUGAUCUGGUGUAGAUUGCAUUGCAUAUUAUUGGCUUUUAUUUGUACAUGUAGGUGUUUUGGUGAUUGGGAAAACUGGUAACAUAUAUGUAUCUAGUUAUGUAUUUGGCUGAAUUUCUAUUAGUCUUCA